Centruroides sculpturatus (bark scorpion) is the source of this 623-nucleotide long non-coding RNA. RefSeq lists it as uncharacterized. The record is from RefSeq and is a predicted model, not a curated record. NCBI's taxonomy places the organism in Eukaryota, Metazoa, Arthropoda, Arachnida, Scorpiones, Buthidae. The transcript is spliced from 4 exons.
UAAACAAUAUUAAAAUUUUAAUCGGAUAAAAAGUACAAUGAGUUACAUUUCCACAGAGUGGCAUUUAAUCAUAAUUAUGAGAUAACGUGGAGAAAUAAGGAUAAACUCAGGAUAAAAAAUGUUGCAAUGGAUGGAUUGUUAGAGGAUGAACAUGAUUAGGAACGAAGAAAACUUGUUAACCUUAAAAGAAAGUUACAGGAGAUUAACUUAUGUGACCCAUAAAUCCUAAGAGAAGAGAAGGAAUAUAUGUUAAUAGGAAGAUGAAGGAGAAAGGAAUAAGUUAGAGCUGGAAGGGAACGAGAAACGGUAAAUCAUCAACGGAAACUUCCAUGCAACGUCGUCUAAAAAAAAGAAAACUGGCAAAAAUAUGCAUUUUUGCACAAAAAAAAAUUCAAGAAUUUUAAUGAAAAUUAUCGACACAGUAGCCAAUUGCGAGAUGGACAUCCAUCAAUCGUCGAGACAUUAGAAUUGGAUAUGCAAAGUGAACCCUUUCAAUAGAAACCAUAAAUUUUCAUGAUGAAGUCGCCUUCUACCGAUUAAUCUAAUGAUUUAAAUCACGCUCGAAGUAACCCGUUGCUAAGUUAUAUACAAAUUUUCGAGUUACAAAUCUAUAUUUGCAUAAU